RNAcentral lists this long non-coding RNA (520 nucleotides) under Manacus vitellinus (golden-collared manakin). RNAcentral's name for it is "lncRNA (ENSMVIG00005004415.1)". The record is from RNAcentral. Lineage: Eukaryota; Metazoa; Chordata; Aves; Passeriformes; Pipridae.
AACACACUGUGCCCUUCUAGCUGUGGUCUGUUAGUGGGGGACAGGACUUAACAUUCAGCUUCUGCAGUUGCUGUAUCCAAUGAAGAGACUUUCCCUGCAUAGAAGUCAUCAGCACAGACUAAUGCAAAAGGGACUAUUUGAGGUGUGGCUGAUAGCAGAAGCAGCUGUCCUUGCUCAUAGAAGAACACUGCUUCCAUGUCACAGCUGGACCCAUGCCAUGGAGCUGAUGCAACCAGGUGUGCCUCCAAUACAGCAUUUAGCAAGGGGAGAUGGUGAUUUUACAAAACAGACAUGGUUGCAAGUAAUGCCAACGGCAGAGGAAAGAAGACAUAUUUCAUUCUGAGGAGAGAAAGGCAAACGCACACACCCCCUCCUCUGUCUGCCCCCUUCCCUGGCAGAGGCCCAGGUCAACUGUCUCAGGGAACAACAACAGCAUUCCUGGUCUUCAGAAACCUCUGGAAGGAAACCAGAGCCAUACGUGUAUGUCUAAGCUCUUUCCCUUUUUGUGACAUAAGCCUGG